Bison bison bison is the source of this 77-nucleotide small nucleolar RNA. The record is from Ensembl. Lineage: Eukaryota; Metazoa; Chordata; Mammalia; Artiodactyla; Bovidae.
UGAAGCAGUGAAGAUAAUUGAUGCCACAUGAAUUGUAGAUGGUGAAUAAUAUGUGUGUCUGGAACUUUGAGGUCUAA